AUUUGAAUAGUUUAAUAAAAAUGCUGACUUGUGGCGUCAGGGAUAUACUUUUGUAUUUCAAGUA
Molecule: transfer RNA, 64 nt
Filed under: Tenebrionoidea sp. 19 KM-2017
Lineage: Eukaryota; Metazoa; Arthropoda; Insecta; Coleoptera
Description: tRNA-His
Source: RNAcentral